GCGUUGUCCGGAAUUAUUGGGCGUAAAGGGCUCGUAGGCGGUCCAUCACGUCGGGAGUGAAAAGCUGGGGCUCAACCCCAGUCCUGCUUUCGAUACGGGUGGACUAGAGGUAGGCAGGGGAGAAUGGAAUUCCUGGUGUAGCGGUGAAAUGCGCAGAUAUCAGGAGGAACACCGGUGGCGAAGGCGGUUCUCUGGGCCUUACCUGACGCUGAGGAGCGAAAGCGUG
This 226-nucleotide ribosomal RNA is filed under the name uncultured bacterium. RNAcentral's name for it is "partial 16S ribosomal RNA". It matches the Rfam family "Bacterial small subunit ribosomal RNA", at positions 538 to 763 of the family's 1533-position model. The record is from RNAcentral.